CACGUAGGGCGCGAGCGUUGUCCGGAAUUAUUGGGCGUAAAGAGCUCGUAGGCGGCCUGUUGCGUCCGCUGUGAAAGCCCGGGGCUUAACCCCGGGUCUGCAGUGGAUACGGGGCAGGCUAGAGGUAGGUAGGGGAGAAUGGAAUUCCCGGUGUAGCGGUGAAAUGCGCAGAUAUCGGGAGGAACACCGGUGGCGAAGGCGGUUCUCUGGGCCUGUACUGACGCUGAGGAGCGAAAGCGUGGGGAGCGAACAGG
Molecule: ribosomal RNA, 254 nt
Filed under: uncultured bacterium
Lineage: Bacteria
Description: partial 16S ribosomal RNA
Rfam family: Bacterial small subunit ribosomal RNA
Source: RNAcentral